GUUAAGGUGAACCUACUGGGACAGGCUAGGAGAGAAGAGGAAAGUUUGGUUCAGAAGAAACUAUCUUA
Small nucleolar RNA from Spermophilus dauricus (Daurian ground squirrel), 68 nucleotides. Its record names the gene SNORD22. It matches the Rfam family "Small nucleolar RNA SNORD22". Rfam says of the family: U22 is a member of the C/D class of snoRNA which contain the C (UGAUGA) and D (CUGA) box motifs. U22 is encoded within the U22 snoRNA host gene (UHG) in mammals and has also been identified in Xenopus. U22 is thought to as a 2'-O-ribose methylation guide for ribosomal RNA. NCBI's taxonomy places the organism in Eukaryota, Metazoa, Chordata, Mammalia, Rodentia, Sciuridae. The record is from Ensembl.